AAACUCCCGGUCCCGCCGCCGCCAGGUGGCGCCGCCCGCCCGCGCUUAGCGCCGAGCCGCGGGCGGUGCGGGUGCGGUGCGGGUGCGGGGCUGGAAGCGGGUGCGGGUGCGGGUCCUGGCCCGGGAGCGGAGCCGGGAGCCGGGAUAGAAAUGCUUGGCUGAAGGGGGAGCCGCCGCUGAGCGGAGUCCGCCCGGGAAACCCAUCGGGGCGUCGUGGGCAGCCUUUGGGCUUGGCGCGCCCCAAACGAGGCGUCCACCUGAACGAUUCCUAUCGUCACUAUUAUCGGCGGUUAAAGUCUGUGAAUCCGAGCAGCUUCCAGCUCGCCUUGCUGCGCCGUGUCGCCGCAGCGGCUGCCAGUACGCGCUAACGCCUCGGUGGCGUGUUUGCACCGCGGCGUUUCAACUCGACGGGUUGAACUGCCCGGAACGGGGGGACGGAGCCGGCACGGCUCUUCCCAGCUGCCGGCGACGAGCUGCAGCUGGGAGACCGCCCCGGUAGGAGCCCCGCGCCCUGCCGCUGCUGCCCGCGGUGCCGGAGCGGGAGGUGCCGGAGCUCCGCUGCCGGCACCCGGAUCCCUGCCAGGGGCGAGCGAGUGUGCGUGUGUCCGUGUGUCAAUGUGUGUGUGUGUGCGUGUGUGGUGAGGGGAGGAGGGAGGAAGUGGGGUGGUGGUGCCGGCCGGGGUGGGGGGGGGGGGGGGGGAUUAUUGGCGAUGGGCGGGAGAGAAAAAAGGCGACUCCUGUUUCCUUUUCUUUCUGCCAGCGCGAUCUCGGCUCAUUUUCUCUAAGCAAUACAAGUUCACGGACGCGCUACCUAGCCAGCCCUCUUCUCCCGUCAUGGACCUCCCAGGCUGCGCGCCACCCGCCCUCUGAGGAGGCUCCUUCGCCCCGCGCGGAGGAAGAGGAGGAGGAGGAGGAGGAGGCGGAGGAGGAGGAUAAGGAUAAGGGAGGAAGGCGCGGCCCCAGCCGCCGCCGCCCAGCCGCCGUCCCGCAGAGCGCUGGCCGCGGGGCGCCGCGGCGGCAGCAGGCGCGCAGC
This 1033-nucleotide long non-coding RNA is filed under the name Anas platyrhynchos platyrhynchos (common mallard). RNAcentral's name for it is "lncRNA (ENSAPLG00000017603.1)". Lineage: Eukaryota; Metazoa; Chordata; Aves; Anseriformes; Anatidae. The record is from RNAcentral.